GCAUCCAGUACACUCAAAACAUACUACAACCCAGUUCUUAGAACCCUAGAAAAGAUAAUAACAAAACAGUGAGACGACAAAGAUUUGCAUCGCAUAAAGGCUCAUCCCAGCAUCCCUGUCUGAUGAGUGGCUUCGGAUGGUUUUACUUGCAAGACAGUCAGAAACAUGCCCACUACCACCUUAAGAAAAUGGAGAUAAGAAAAAGAAGCAUCAUCAGCUAUUUAUAGUUGAGUCAUAUCUCUGAUAGUCUGAUUCCUUCCAUCCAUUUGAGACACAAUCAUGAACAGGAUCUAAUGCUCCAUAGAUGCCGGGGCAUAUGACAGCACCAUAUAUACUGUGCUAAACACACGCAGACAACUGGGAGUGCUUUCUUCUUGCCUUCCAUGCGCAUUCAAGAUUGAAAUGCCACGGGCUAUUUCCCCGCCACAAAAUAUUCCUGCCAAUGGGACCCC
RNAcentral lists this unclassified non-coding RNA (452 nucleotides) under Hevea brasiliensis (rubber tree). The record is from RNAcentral. Lineage: Eukaryota; Viridiplantae; Streptophyta; Magnoliopsida; Malpighiales; Euphorbiaceae.